This 463-nucleotide ribosomal RNA is filed under the name uncultured bacterium. Its description in RNAcentral is "bacterial SSU rRNA". It matches the Rfam family "Bacterial small subunit ribosomal RNA", at positions 917 to 1382 of the family's 1533-position model. The record is from RNAcentral.
GAGCCCGCACAAGCAGUGGAGUAUGUGGUUUAAUUCGACGCAACGCGAAAAACCUUACCAAGGAUUGACAUCCAAGGAAUCGGAAGUAAUGUUCCGAGUGCCCCUUCGGGGGAAUCUUGAGACAGGUGGUGCAUGGUUGUCGUCAGCUCGUGUCGUGAGAUGUUGGGUUAAGUCCCGCAACGAGCGCAACCCUUACUGUUAGUUGCUACGCAAGAGCACUCUGGCAGGACUGCCGUUGACAAAACGGAGGAAGGUGGGGACGACGUCAAAUCAUCAUGCCCCUUAUAUCUUGGGCUACACACGUACUACAAUGGCGCAAACAAAGAGCAGCGACCCCGCGAGGGCGAGCAAAUCUCAUAAAAGGCGUCCCAGUUCGGACUGCAGGCUGCAAUUCGCCUGCACGAAGUUGGAAUUGCUAGUAAUCGCGAAUCAGCAUGUCGCGGUGAAUACGUUCCCGGGCUUU